This 253-nucleotide ribosomal RNA is filed under the name uncultured bacterium. RNAcentral describes it as "partial 16S ribosomal RNA". It matches the Rfam family "Bacterial small subunit ribosomal RNA", at positions 524 to 776 of the family's 1533-position model. The record is from RNAcentral.
UACAGAGGUCCCAAGCGUUGUUCGGAUUCACUGGGCGUAAAGGGUGCGUAGGCGGCCUGUUAAGUCGGGUGUGAAAGCCCUGGGCUCAACCCAGGAAGUGCACUCGAAACUGGCGGGCUUGAAUAUGGAAGAGGGUCGCGGAAUUCCCGGUGUAGAGGUGAAAUUCGUAGAUAUCGGGAGGAACACCAGUGGCGAAGGCGGCGACCUGGGCCAAUAUUGACGCUGAGGUGCGAAAGCGUGGGGAGCAAACAGG